This 253-nucleotide ribosomal RNA is filed under the name uncultured bacterium. RNAcentral describes it as "partial 16S ribosomal RNA". It matches the Rfam family "Bacterial small subunit ribosomal RNA", at positions 524 to 776 of the family's 1533-position model. The record is from RNAcentral.
UACGUAGGUGGCAAGCGUUGUCCGGAAUUAUUGGGCGUAAAGCGCGCACAGGCGGCUUCUUAAGUCUGAUGUGAAAUCUUGCGGCUCAACCGCAAGCGGUCAUUGGAAACUGGGAGGCUUGAGUGCAGAAGAGGAGAGUGGAAUUCCACGUGUAGCGGUGAAAUGCGUAGAGAUGUGGAGGAACACCAGUGGCGAAAGCGGCUCUCUGGCCUGUCACUGACGCUGAGGUGCGAAAGCGUGGGGAGCAAACAGG